AUUCGUCACAUUUCUAGAUAGUUCGGAUGUCGCUGUGGCAAAGUCCGAGGGCCAGCGCUGCCCUGGAGAUUGAGCGCCUGGAGGACAGGGCUGGAGAUUGAGCGCCUGGAGGACAGGGCUGGAGAUUGAGCGCCUGGAGGACAGGGCUGGAGAUUGAGCGCCUGGAGGACAGGGCUGGAGAUUGAGCGCCUGGAGGACAGGGCUGGAGAUUGAGCGCCUGGAGGACAGGGCUGGAGAUUGAGCGCCUGGAGGACAGGGCUGGAGAUUGAGCGCCUGGAGGACAGGGCUGGAGAUUGAGCGCCUGGAGGACAGGGCUUUGUCUGCACUGUGCCCUCGGGGUCUGGGCUCAGUGAGGGAUGAACCCUACCAGAGCUACAGGAAUAAAGCACCCAACAACGUGUACGCCCAGACGAAUAUGGCGCUUUAAGAGCUGUGCGUGUUUUGGGGGAGCAGACGGUUGACAGUGUUGAGUUUGAUUGAAGGCAUCGACUACAAGACGACCACCAUCCUGCUGGACGGGCGGCGGGUGAAGCUGCAGCUCUGGGAUACUUCAGGCCAGGGAAGAUUUUGUACCAUAUUC
RNAcentral lists this long non-coding RNA (580 nucleotides) under Homo sapiens (human). RNAcentral's name for it is "non-protein coding lnc-WDR45B-6:1". Lineage: Eukaryota; Metazoa; Chordata; Mammalia; Primates; Hominidae. The record is from RNAcentral.